AAAGGGUGCAGAGGCAACAGUGGAGAAAGAGAGGGAUUAAGGAGCGGCAGGGAUGGCAUUAACGCGCGGAACCAACCUAUUGUGGUGAUCGAAGGCAAACAAGCAGCAGCUACAGAGGGAGGAGGCCCCCUUGGCGUUGGACCUCGGCCAGCGUGCUCCGCUCUUCAGUAUCCACACCACUACAUCAUCUCCCUCGCUUUCAAUGAACUGUUCUUUUUUCCUGCUUUCUCUUCUUUUUAACCUUUUUAUUCUCACUUUUUCUCACCUUGUGUGAGUUUGAGCUUGGCAGCGUGCGUACCUCUGGGUUUGUGUCGCAGGGGAGGAGCCGGCAGGCACUGGCGGUGGGUUCUCGGGCUGUGGCUGUGUGUAGCCUAGCUAGCCUUUUGCUUUGUUUUGCUCCAUCUUUUCUUUGUCUCAUGAGACGCUUGUACAGUGCAAGGGAUUGACACUCUCUUUCACUCUUUUGUGGAGCAGGACUCUCUCUCUCUCUCUCUCUCUCUCUCUCUCUCUCUCUCUCUCUCUGCCUUGGAAAUUUCCCAGUCAAAACAAAAGAGCUUCUCUGUGUUUUGCCUAAGGACUUGCUUGUGGUCGUAGUAAUUACUGAGAUGGCAUUUUGGCUAGGCCACAGUGUUUCCGGAG
This 639-nucleotide long non-coding RNA is filed under the name Musa acuminata (dwarf banana). Its description in RNAcentral is "long non-coding RNA (MACU_LNC004100)". Lineage: Eukaryota; Viridiplantae; Streptophyta; Magnoliopsida; Zingiberales; Musaceae. The record is from RNAcentral.